Molecule: ribosomal RNA, 497 nt
Filed under: uncultured bacterium
Lineage: Bacteria
Description: partial 16S ribosomal RNA
Rfam family: Bacterial small subunit ribosomal RNA
Source: RNAcentral
GACGAACGCUGGCGGCGUGCCUAAUACAUGCAAGUUGAGCGAUGAAGAUUGGUGCUUGCACCAAUUUGAAGAGCAGCGAACGGGUGAGUAACGCGUGGGGAAUCUGCCUUUGAGCGGGGGACAACAUUUGGAAACGAAUGCUAAUACCGCAUAACAACUUUAAACAUAAGUUUUAAGUUUGAAAGAUGCAAUUGCAUCACUCAAAGAUGAUCCCGCGUUGUAUCAGCUAGUUGGUGAGGUAAAGGCUCACCAAGGCGAUGAUACAUAGCCGACCUGAGAGGGUGAUCGGCCACAUUGGGACUGAGACACGGCCCAAACUCCUACGGGAGGCAGCAGUAGGGAAUCUUCGGCAAUGGACGAAAGUCUGACCGAGCAACGCCGCGUGAGUGAAGAAGGUUUUCGGAUCGUAAAACUCUGUUGGUAGAGAAGAACGUUGGUGAGAGUGGAAAGCUCAUCAAGUGACGGUAACUACCCAGAAAGGGACGGCUAACUACGUG